GGGAAGGGGUGAAUCUGAUGCAGCGACGCCGCGUGAGGGAGAAGGUCUUCGGAUUGUAAACCUCUGUCUUUGGGGACGAAGAAGGUGACGGUACCCAAAGAGGAAGCCCGGCUAACUACAUGCCAGCGGCCGCGGUAAUACAUGCCCCGCGGUAAUAUAAUA
RNAcentral lists this ribosomal RNA (162 nucleotides) under uncultured Clostridium sp. RNAcentral's name for it is "partial 16S ribosomal RNA". It matches the Rfam family "Bacterial small subunit ribosomal RNA", at positions 367 to 537 of the family's 1533-position model. Lineage: Bacteria; Bacillati; Bacillota; Clostridia; Eubacteriales; Clostridiaceae. The record is from RNAcentral.